CGAACGAGAGCGACCGGUGCUUGCACUGGUCGAUCUAGUGGCGAACGGGUGAGUAACACGUGGGUAACCUGCCCAUCAGAGGGGGAUAACAUUCGGAAACGGAUGCUAAAACCGCAUAGGUCUUCGAACCGCAUGGUUUGAAGAGGAAAAGAGGCGCGAGCUUCUGCUGAUGGAUGGACCCGCGGUGCAUUAGCUAGUUGGUGAGGUAACGGCUCACCAAGGCCGUGAUGCAUAGCCGACUCGCUGAGAGGGUGAUCGGCCACAUUGGGACUGAGACACGGCCCAAACUCCUACGGGAGGCAGCAGUAGGGAAUCUUCCGCAAUGGACGCAAGUCUGACGGAGCAACGCCGCGUGAGUGAAGAAGGUUUUCGGAUCGUAAAACUCUGUUGUUAGAGAAGAACAAGUGCUAGAGUAACUGUUAGCGCCUUGACGGUAUCUAACCAGAAAGCCACGGCUAACUACGUGCCAGCAGCCGCGGUAAUACGUAGGUGGCAAGCGUUGUCUGGAUUUAUUGGGCGUAAAGCGAGCGCAGGCGGUUCCUUAAGUCUGAUG
RNAcentral lists this ribosomal RNA (553 nucleotides) under uncultured Granulicatella sp. RNAcentral describes it as "bacterial SSU rRNA". It matches the Rfam family "Bacterial small subunit ribosomal RNA", at positions 63 to 594 of the family's 1533-position model. Lineage: Bacteria; Bacillati; Bacillota; Bacilli; Lactobacillales; Carnobacteriaceae. The record is from RNAcentral.